GGCCUGGUGGUCUAGUAGUAUGAUUCCUUCUUAGGGUUCGAACAUCGUUCGAAGCGAUUGGAGGAGGUCCCGGGUUCAAUUCCCGGCCAGGCCC
RNAcentral lists this transfer RNA (94 nucleotides) under Dentipellis sp. KUC8613. RNAcentral describes it as "tRNA-Pro". It matches the Rfam family "tRNA". From Rfam's summary of the family: Transfer RNA (tRNA) molecules are approximately 80 nucleotides in length. Their secondary structure includes four short double-helical elements and three loops (D, anti-codon, and T loops). Lineage: Eukaryota; Fungi; Basidiomycota; Agaricomycetes; Russulales; Hericiaceae. The record is from RNAcentral.